Molecule: ribosomal RNA, 460 nt
Filed under: uncultured bacterium
Lineage: Bacteria
Description: partial 16S ribosomal RNA
Rfam family: Bacterial small subunit ribosomal RNA
Source: RNAcentral
CCUACGGGCGGCAGCAGUGAGGAAUAUUGGUCAAUGGACGAGAGUCUGAACCAGCCAAGUAGCGUGAAGGAUGACUGCCCUAUGGGUUGUAAACUUCUUUUAUAAAGGAAUAAAACGAGGCACGUGUGCCUUUUUGCAUGUACUUUAUGAAUAAGGAUCGGCUAACUCCGUGCCAGCAGCCGCGGUAAUACGGAGGAUCCGAGCGUUAUCCGGAUUUCUUGGGGUUAAAGGGAGCGUAGAUGGGUUGUUAAGUCAGUUGUGAAAGUUUGCGGCUCAACCGUCAAAUUGCAAUUGAUACUGGCAGUCUUGAGUACAGUUGAGGUAGGCGGAAUUCGUGGGGUAGCGGUGAAAUGCUUAGAUAUCACGAAGAACCCCGAUUGCGAAGGCAGCUUACUAAACUGUGACUGACAUUGAUGCUCGAAAGUGUGGGUAUCAAACAGGAUUAGAGACCCUAGUAGUC